ACAUAGAGAGGCUGAAAAAUUUAUCAAUUUAAAAGCAAUCCAAAUACAAAAAAUCCAUCCAUAAUCCAAAUCAAACCAAAAAUACAAUACAGUCUAACACAAGAAAUUAAAAUUUAGUUUAAAAUUAAGAAUACAAUCUACACUGCAACUAUGUCACACAAAUCGCCGCAUUAUAUGUCUGGACACCGUCCAUCACCAUCCUAUAAAAAAGCAGAAUAGAACAUUAAAAUUAACAACAAUAAAGAGAGAGUAGAAAUCACAACAACAAAUACAAAUGCAUUAAACAGAAGAAGAGAAGCUCCUAGAAAAACAAGUCAAAAGCAGUCGAAUCAAACCAACGUUCAUGACCAAAGACAACAGUCCACCCUCUCAAAAGAUAAAUGAGUACCUGCAAAAUCAAAAACUUAAAAAAAAAAAAAAAAAAUACUAAAAUAACCAUCUCCGCUUCUCCAUGGCGAGGAAUAACUAUGGCGGACGGAGGCACUUUCUGUUUGAAAGCAGGAGAAGAACCACAAAUAAACUAAAGGAAAAUUAGGGAAAGAAGAAAGAAAGAAAAUAAGAAACCCCAAAUCGUCACAGAAAUAAUAAAAUGUGCUUCCUUUUCGCUUUCCUUUAGAAAAAAGGAUUUAACAAUUGACGAUUUA
RNAcentral lists this long non-coding RNA (644 nucleotides) under Manihot esculenta (cassava). RNAcentral describes it as "long non-coding RNA (MESC_LNC008957)". Lineage: Eukaryota; Viridiplantae; Streptophyta; Magnoliopsida; Malpighiales; Euphorbiaceae. The record is from RNAcentral.